Molecule: long non-coding RNA, 961 nt
Organism: Nannospalax galili (Upper Galilee mountains blind mole rat)
Lineage: Eukaryota; Metazoa; Chordata; Mammalia; Rodentia; Spalacidae
Exons: 3
Source: RefSeq, a predicted model, not a curated record
CCUUGGCCUCACUCCACCCCCAUUCCCUCUCAGGGAGUCUCUCAGUCUUCCUAGCUCGCUUGCGCUGCCAUCAGGCCUUAAUGCCAGUUGGCCUUCUGCCUGGCCAGCUCCACCCUGUGAUGUCACCAGGCCAUGUAGCUCGGAGUCAGGUUUGAAGUGUUCCCCACCCCCAAAUGGUCUGUCCUCUUCUUCAGGCCUCACAGCACCAUCUGACUUCCCCUUUGGGACUUUGAGUAUUUGUGAACCAGUUGUUUCCCCUCUCCAGGCCAUCAGCUCCUUGAGCUCAGGGACCAGACUGAGCCCUUGCCUCUACCUCAUGCUGCUGUGUCCCCAUCAUCCAGAUAGAGCAGAAGCUCACUAAGGCGCCACACGCACCCUCAUGGCUGUGCUGUUCACAAAGGUGGGAAGGUGGAGGAGACCAGGCAAACAUCAUCGAAGGCUGCAGAUGAACAUGCUGUGGCGCACCGUAUGUUCAGUCAUAAGACAUGUACUGAAAGACGGGAGACUCUCAAACGCAUGUUAAGUGAAAGUCACAAGAGGUCACAGAGUUGGAAGGGAGGAAGCUGGGGCUGGAAAUGCUUACUUCCUAGACACAGGCAAACGAAGGCAGAGAAAGUAUCCAGGAUAGACCUGCCCACCGCACCUCGGCCAGCACAGGCCCAGCUUGGCGGAACGCUAGUCUUGGUCUCCCAUGGGCUCUAGGCUUCAAGCCCGUUGGCCAGCUUGAGGAUGAGGAUGGUUCCAUUUCCCUCUGAGGCUAUGUGGGCAGCAGGAGGCUACGGAGCAGUUUGAUGCCAUCAGGAUGGGAGCAGCCUUGAAUGCCUGCCACUUCUCUGCCUGACCUGGUGCAGCAUACGGCUUUCCUCACUUUACCGGGUCUAGGCUCUGGGCUCUCCCUGCCCUCUUCAUGCACAGCCUCCUUCUGACAGCCUGCCUGGCUCUGCCCAAGACUUUCAGAGGA